GAUGAACGCUGGCGGCGUGCCUAAUACAUGCAAGUCGAGCGAACAGACGAGGAGCUUGCUCCUCUGUCGUUAGCGGCGGACGUGUGAGUAACACGUGUAUAACCUACCUAUAAGACUGGGAUAACUUCGGGAAACCGGAGCUAAUACCGGAUAAUAUAUUGAACCGCAUGGUUCAAUAGUGAAAGACGGUUUUGCUGUCACUUAUAGAUGGAUCCGCGCCGCAUUAGAUAGUUGGUAAGGUAAGGGCUUACCAAGGCAACGAUGCGUAGACGACCUGAGAGGGUGAUAGGCGACACUGGAACUGAGACGCGGUCCAGACUACUACGGGAGGCCGCAGAAGGGAAUCGUCCGCAAUGGGCGAAAGCAUGACGGAGCAACGCGGCGUGAGUGAUGACAGCCUUCGGAGCGUAAAACUCUGUUAUUAGGGAAGAACAAAUGUGUAAGUAACUAUGCCCGUCUUGACGGUACCUAAUCAGAAAGCCACGGCUAACUACGUG
RNAcentral lists this ribosomal RNA (497 nucleotides) under uncultured bacterium. RNAcentral's name for it is "partial 16S ribosomal RNA". It matches the Rfam family "Bacterial small subunit ribosomal RNA", at positions 28 to 507 of the family's 1533-position model. The record is from RNAcentral.